RNAcentral lists this long non-coding RNA (531 nucleotides) under Rattus norvegicus (Norway rat). Its description in RNAcentral is "long non-coding RNA NONRATT027252". The record is from RNAcentral. Lineage: Eukaryota; Metazoa; Chordata; Mammalia; Rodentia; Muridae.
CCAGCUUUCAGGACUUGAGGAGCAGACCUGGGGAGAAGGAGCUAGAUUAUAAGGUUACGACCUCCCGGGCCUCAGAAAUCCCCCCCUUUUGGAAAGUGCGUUACGAGGCACCGAUCUUGCCUUAAGGGGACCCUCGCCUAAAAGUCUCAAGUUGCAGGAGAUGGCUGACGCUUUGAAGCCUCCUCUCUUAUAACGCAGCGAUUGUCCCAACAGCGUCUACUCCGCCCGAGCUGGCCCCAAAUAUUGGCACGCCCCUCUGCCCCUGGAGCCAAAGGCUGGUGGCAUCUCUUGCCCCACCACCCCAUUAGUCCUUUGGCCCGAAGUGGGAGACCUAUCAGCGGGGAUCGGGGUCAAUCGCCAGCGCCCCGGGCUCUCCCACUAGACGGCGCGGGGUCUGUACGGGUCACCUACGGUCGCUGCGCCCUACGCCCAGAGCCUCGGAGCUGCAAACCCAGUCAUAGCCCGAGGGCUGCCCCGGAGAGGGAGCAGCCGGGAGAGCCACUUGGGAGACCGUGGCGGUUUGGCCAGGAC